Molecule: ribosomal RNA, 551 nt
Filed under: Conraua crassipes (Abo slippery frog)
Lineage: Eukaryota; Metazoa; Chordata; Amphibia; Anura; Petropedetidae
Description: partial 16S ribosomal RNA
Rfam family: Bacterial large subunit ribosomal RNA
Source: RNAcentral
CGCCUCUUGACAAACAUAAGAGGUCCAGCCUGCCCAGUGACAAAGUUCAACGGCCGCGGUACCCUAACCGUGCGAAGGUAGCAUAAUCACUUGUUCUUUAAAUAAGGACCAGUAUCAACGGCAUCACGAGGGUUACACUGUCUCCUUUCUCCUAUCAGUGAAACUGAUCUCCCCGUGAAGAAGCGGGAAUAAGAAUAUAAGACGAGAAGACCCUAUGGAGCUUUAAACCCAACAGCAUCUUUAUAUUUUACACCAAUAUAGCCUAAAAAGGACUGCCCGUUGGUUUUAGGUUGGGGUGACCACGGAGAACAACUUAACCUCCACAAUGAAUGGACCCACAUCCUAAUCCCAGAACAACAUCUCCAAGAAUCAAUAACUUGACAUAAAAUGAUCCGACCCUCGAUCAACGAACCAAGUUACCCUAGGGAUAACAGCGCAAUCCACUUCAAGAGCUCCUAUCGACAAGUGGGUUUACGACCUCGAUGUUGGAUCAGGGCAUCCCAGUGGUGCAGCCGCUACUAAAGGUUCGUUUGUUCAACGAUUAAAGCCCU